RNAcentral lists this ribosomal RNA (253 nucleotides) under uncultured bacterium. Its description in RNAcentral is "partial 16S ribosomal RNA". It matches the Rfam family "Bacterial small subunit ribosomal RNA", at positions 524 to 776 of the family's 1533-position model. The record is from RNAcentral.
GACGGGGGGGGCUAGCGUUGCUCGGAAUCACUGGGCGUAAAGGGUGCGUAGGCGGGUUUUUAAGUCAGAGGUGAAAUCCUGGAGCUCAACUCCAGAACUGCCUUUGAUACUGGGAAUCUUGAGUAUGGAAGAGGUGAGUGGAACUGCGAGUGUAGAGGUGAAAUUCGUAGAUAUUCGCAAGAACACCAGUGGCGAAGGCGGCUCACUGGUCCAUAACUGACGCUGAGGCACGAAAGCGUGGGGAGCAAACAGG